AUGCCUACUUCCCGAGGCUUGCCCCAGAGUCGGAGGUAGAGACGCCCCCCAUGGUUCCAUAUUCACAUAGGUACGAUGUGCGAUGCGAGCGGAGGCCGCGAGAGUCUUUCUCAUUCUUCUGUCGAUAUUUUGACACUGUAGCCGCAACAGAGAUCACUUGGCAGUCUUGGGCAGUGCUGCUUGACGCAGUUAGAGACCAGUUUAUGGGCGCUCGGGAGACUUCCCGAUUCCGAGUUUUUCUUGAGGGUCCGAUCUGUCGAGCGUGGUACUUGGGUGAAUGCUUCCUGCGACAGAGCCUUGGUUUAUUCGAGCCGGUGGUUCCGAUGCCGCCCCCUUCGCACAUGAGGCAGAUAGAGAGGUACGCCCCGCAAGAGAUGGCCGAUUUCACUGUAGGUUGGGAUGCCGACUUUUUAAGGCUCGACGGCGACUGCACCGUCUUCAUUUAGACAUAUCUCAUGCCGCCUCUAGCGAGUAGUCGCCGAGGUGAGAGAGACAGACCUAUAGCCGCAGCAGGAGGAGUGGGAGGAUCCAGGGCGACCUACGCCCGUGGUAGGAGAGGUUCCCAGAGGAGACAGAGGGCAGAGUGACCAGACCUGCCCACUACCAUGAUAUGACGAGGACAGGCUGGUGAGACUUAUCAGAUUCCCAUCGCUCCUCCCCCAGCUGAUCAUGAGCUCGUCGGAGUUCGAGGCUCGACCCCGGCUUCCACAGAGUACAUUGGGCAGGCUUUGGAGUUGUCGGCUUCGGUGAUGGGGAUGCUGCAGAGGAGUAUGGACCUGCUCAAUAUUUACGGUAUUCUGG
Molecule: non-coding RNA, 801 nt
Organism: Camellia sinensis
Lineage: Eukaryota; Viridiplantae; Streptophyta; Magnoliopsida; Ericales; Theaceae
Source: RefSeq, a predicted model, not a curated record